UCGAUUGAGUUUGAUCAUGGCUCAGGAUGAACGCUAGCGGCAGGCCUAAUACAUGCAAGUCGAACGGUGGUAGCAAUACCAUAGUGGCGCACGGGUGCGUAACACGUAACUAACCUACCUAUAAGUGGGGGAUAGCCCGCCGAAAGGCGGAUUAAUACCGCAUAAGCUGUGAGCCUGGCAUCAGGCAUUCAGUAAAGAUUUAUUGGUUAUAGAUGGGGUUGCGGGUCAUUAGCUAGUUGGUAAGGUAACGGCUUACCAAGGCGACGAUGACUAGGGGAGCUGAGAGGCUG
RNAcentral lists this ribosomal RNA (290 nucleotides) under uncultured bacterium. RNAcentral describes it as "partial 16S ribosomal RNA". It matches the Rfam family "Bacterial small subunit ribosomal RNA", at positions 1 to 302 of the family's 1533-position model. The record is from RNAcentral.